UACGUAGGGUGCAAGCGUUGUCCGGAAUUAUUGGGCGUAAAGAGCUCGUAGGCGGUCUGUCGCGUCUGCUGUGAAAACUCAGGGCUUAACCCUGAGCUUGCAGUGGGUACGGGCAGACUAGAGUGCGGUAGGGGAGACUGGAAUUCCUGGUGUAGCGGUGAAAUGCGCAGAUAUCAGGAGGAACACCGGUGGCGAAGGCGGGUCUCUGGGCCGUAACUGACGCUGGAGG
This 229-nucleotide ribosomal RNA is filed under the name uncultured bacterium. RNAcentral's name for it is "partial 16S ribosomal RNA". It matches the Rfam family "Bacterial small subunit ribosomal RNA", at positions 524 to 752 of the family's 1533-position model. The record is from RNAcentral.